GACGAACGCUGGCGGCGUGCCUAAUACAUGCAAGUAGAACGCUGAAGGAGGAUCUUGCUUCUCUGGAUGAGUUGCGAACGGGUGAGUAACGCGUAGGUAACCUGCCUGGUAGCGGGGGAUAACUAUUGGAAACUAUAGCUAAUACCGCAUACUAGUAGAUGUCGCAUGACAUUUGCUUAAAAGUUGCACUUGCAUCACUACCAGAUGGACCUGCGUUGUAUUAGCUAGUUGGUGAGGUAACGGCUCACCAAGGAAACGAUCCAUAGCCGACCUGAGAGGGUGAUCGGCCACACUGGGACUGAGACACGGCCCAGACUCCUACGGGAGGCAGCAGUAGGGAAUCUUCGGCAAGGGACGGAAGUCGGACAGAGCAACGCCGCGGGAGGGAAGAAGGUUGUCGGAUCGGAAAGCUCUGUUGUAAGAGAAGAACGAGUGUGAGAGUGGAAAGUUCACACUGUGACGGUAUCUGAACAGAAAGGGACGGCUAACUACGUG
Molecule: ribosomal RNA, 495 nt
Filed under: uncultured bacterium
Lineage: Bacteria
Description: partial 16S ribosomal RNA
Rfam family: Bacterial small subunit ribosomal RNA
Source: RNAcentral